RNAcentral lists this transfer RNA (77 nucleotides) under Bacillota bacterium. RNAcentral's name for it is "tRNA-His". It matches the Rfam family "tRNA". From Rfam's summary of the family: Transfer RNA (tRNA) molecules are approximately 80 nucleotides in length. Their secondary structure includes four short double-helical elements and three loops (D, anti-codon, and T loops). The record is from RNAcentral. Lineage: Bacteria; Bacillati; Bacillota. RNAcentral also lists the same sequence under 1 other name.
GUGGAUGUAGCUCAGCUGGUUAGAGCGCCAGGUUGUGGCCCUGGAGGCCGUGGGUUCGAAUCCCAUCAUUCACCCCA